UGGCCUCUAACCUAGUUUUCUAAAUAAUCUAUUAGAAAUGUCUAACCUAUGGACUUUUUCUUAUUUCCAGUUGACAGACUAAGGUCAAGAAAGAGGUUAUAUCAUGAACCCAUUACCUGACUCCCAGACAACGAUCUUGCCAUUCCAACUUCAGAAGAAGCUUUGGAGGGAGUUUAAACCAUAAGCUUACCCUCUCAAUCAUCCACUACCCCAAGGGGUCACACCGGCCAAGGCCUGAUUGGAGAUGCCUGGGACCCUGCUGAGCUAGCCGUCCCCCCAACGCUGGCCGCAGCCACGACUCCGAGCGCUGCUCCUUGUUUUUCUGCGCUUUCCUUUCUCCCCCACAAGCUUCUGAUUCUUGGAACCAGGCUUGGUGACCUCACGCGAGUGACUUCAUAUCCGGGACUUUCUGGGAAUUCUCAGCAGCACUUUUUCGCCGCCAUCUCCAACCAAUUGGACUGAGUCUUCUGUCAUUCGGGUCACCGCCGCUGAGACGCCUUCCCUGACCACCCAAGUUGAAGGAACUGCCAACCUUUCCCUUUUGGACUUUUGUAUUUCCUUCACAGUAUUUCUCCCCUCUAAAAUUAUCUUGUCUGCUUCUACCUAUAUUGUCUUCCCUCUUGAAACCAAAGUUUCAUAAGCUGAGGCAGAAAUUCUGCCUUGUUCAUCUCUGUUCUCAGCACCCUGAACAGAGCCUGGCAUGAAUGAGGUGCUCAAUAAAAGUUACUUGGAUGAAUGGGC
Rhinopithecus bieti (black snub-nosed monkey) is the source of this 741-nucleotide long non-coding RNA. The record is from Ensembl. Lineage: Eukaryota; Metazoa; Chordata; Mammalia; Primates; Cercopithecidae.